This 381-nucleotide ribosomal RNA is filed under the name uncultured bacterium. RNAcentral's name for it is "bacterial SSU rRNA". It matches the Rfam family "Bacterial small subunit ribosomal RNA", at positions 29 to 416 of the family's 1533-position model. The record is from RNAcentral.
AUUGAACGCUGGCGGCAUGCCUUACACAUGCAAGUCGAGCGCGAAAGGGGGCAACCCCGAGUAGAGCGGCGGACGGGUGAGUAACGCAUCGGAACGUGCCCAGUAGUGGGGGACAACCUCGAGAAAUCGAGGCUAAUACCGCAUACGACCCACGGGUGAAAGCGGGGGACCGCAAGGCCUCGCGCUAUUGGAGCGGCCGAUGUCCGAUUAGCUAGUUGGCGGGGUAANAGCCCACCAAGGCGACGAUCGGUAGCUGGUCUGAGAGGACGACCGGCCACACUGGACUGAGACACGGCCCAGACUCCUACGGGAGGCAGCAGUGGGGAAUUUUGGACAAUGGGGCAACCCUGAUCCAGCCAUGCCGCGUGCGGGAAGAAGGCC